UUUUGGAAUAAUUUUUUAUAAAUUUUCGAUAGUAGCCGCUUAAGCCUAAAAAUGAUUUAGGAUUUUUUACUGUUUUGGGUACCGAGAACUUAUUGAUAGAAGUAAUUUUGUCGAGAUUAGGUUUUAUCUCAUCAGUUGUGAUUACGUGCCAUAAAAAUUGAAUUUCUUUCAAAUCACCAAAUCUAGAUCUUAUAUUUAUAUGAUCUAAUCGAAGCUGUUUAAUUACAUCGCAAUUUAUAUUAACAUCAAUUGCUAUUUUGUCAGUGUAAACAUAUUGGUCAAGAGUAUACAUGUGAAUAUUAUUGCGACAUUGAAUAUCAGUAAAGCCGUUAUCUGUAUUGUAAAUGCCUGGAUGAUUUGUUCGUGGUCGAGAAUUACACAAAUUCCUGUGUGUAAAUUAACUGGAAAACGCCUACAAAAAUUCUUCUAAAAAAGACAAAUGAAACCUUAAGAUGCUGGUUUGUAUGAAAAUUCUUCAACAGAAUGCCAUUGCUCAAAAUGUCGUACAUUAAGCGAUGCAGAUAAGGAUCGUAUGAUUAUAAAAAUUGUCACGUUGUUUUCUCGUUUGAGCUUGACUAUAUAUGUAUAUGAUAGCAAGAGGCAAUGUUAUAACCUUGAUGUACCCAAUAUUUAGUCAAUCGAUGAUAGAUAAAUGAGUCCAUGUCAGAAAUACGCUACAUCUGCAAGUCGGGAGCGUCGAUGCCAGAAGCAUAUCACUGAUAAGAAGAUAAAGCCCUUGAUUUUCAUAUAUAACAAUCCCCAGAAGCAGUACACGCGAAACAACAUGCAACGUUGACUCUUUUCAUGUGACAGUUGCUGCAUUCUUAUCAUUUACAGCAAAUAAAAGCAUUGCAGGAAACUGCACGUGCGUGCGUGCAUGCGUAUCUCUGUGUGUGUGUGUACUAUGUCACAAAGAGGUUUCCUAUAAGAGGCGUGUGGCGGGUUGGCCCAAUCUUGUAUAUUAUUAGGUCUCGACCAUUUCUUUCAAUUAUUCUGAGUGGAAUCGGGUACCUGGAAAACCAUAAACAAGAAAGCUGAAGAAAACAUUCAUCGAAGAAGAUUCUGAAAUCAAUUCGGACGAAGAAGGAAGUUAUUCCGAUUUGGAGGAUGACUCAUCAUGCUAAAUGUUUCAUUAAAUUGUAAAUUAAUUCCAGUUAUUUUAAAAAUAUAAUGUACAUGAAAGGAAUGAAAUCUAUUGGAAAUACACAUUAUUUUAUAAGUAUA
Agrilus planipennis (emerald ash borer) is the source of this 1224-nucleotide long non-coding RNA. RefSeq lists it as uncharacterized. The transcript has 3 exons. NCBI's taxonomy places the organism in Eukaryota, Metazoa, Arthropoda, Insecta, Coleoptera, Buprestidae. The record is from RefSeq and is a predicted model, not a curated record.